Molecule: long non-coding RNA, 34826 nt
Filed under: Citrus x clementina
Lineage: Eukaryota; Viridiplantae; Streptophyta; Magnoliopsida; Sapindales; Rutaceae
Description: Citrus clementina (C. clementina) long non-coding RNA (CCLE_LNC004166)
Source: RNAcentral
UAAAUUCUUUUUCUGAAAUUAAAAAUUGAAUUGUGGGCAAUAAGUGUUUUAAGGUCGCCACAGGAUGGGUGAUAUUUCACUGGUCUACUUUUCUUGAGAUUAAGGAAAAUAGUAUAAAAGAAUAGUGAGAUUCUUCCAUUCCAUGCAUGGCUAUCAGAAGGAAAGGAAAACUAAACAUAAAUGCAUUAAUAGAUUUUUACUAGGCUUUUGUGGCUUGUAAAUAAUGUUGUUUUAUUGUACUGUAAGGUUUAUGUGAAAACAGUUAAGUUUCUUUACAAUUAUGCUUAUUGUCCCAUAGUUGUAUUUAUCAUAUUGAAUAAAGAAUUUGAAAACUUAAACCUUACCUAAAUGUGUCAUUAAUGUAAAUGGAGUCAUUACAAUAGUCGGAUUAUUUGGAAUGGGUUCUAGAAUCUUACAUGUGACUCCUUUUGUCAUCUAAAAUGAUGGUUGAGACUUUGUUUUUUAUGAUCUUAUCAACUGUUUUGUUGUUAGUUAAAGUAGGGAUUGAGUACCUGCAACUCUGAGUAGUUUUGUAGCUUUCUGCCUGCAUCUCUGAGACAUCACAAAACUGCCUAGGAUUAACUUUGAGAGCCAACCUAGUAAAUGCUUAAAUACUUUUUCUUCUUCUUAAAAUGAAAGCCAGACCCUCCGUUUGUCUGUCCGCACAAUGCGAGCCUCAGAGCUUUUAGUUAUAUGAGAAGAGGUAGAUAAAUGGAGUGUUCAUGCUGUACAGGUUUUUGGUUUCUAACUUUGUCUUAUACUGUAUAGGUUUCGAUGGCAUUGAGCUCCACGGUGCACAUGGCUACCUAAUUGACCAAUUUAUGAAGGAUCAAGUGAAUGAUCGAACAGACCAGUAUGGAGGAUCCUUAGAGAAUCGUUGCCGUUUUGCUUUAGAAAUAGUUGAAGCUGUUUCCAAUGAAAUAGGGGCAGAUAGGGUUGGGAUAAGACUAUCUCCGUUUGCAAACUAUAUGGAAUCAGGAGACUCUAACCCAGAAGCUUUAGGUCUUUACAUGGCAGAAUCCUUGAACAAAUAUGGUAUCCUCUAUUGUCACAUGGUUGAGCCAAGGAUGAAAACAGUUGGAGAAAAAUCUGAAUGUCCUCACAGUUUGCUGCCCAUGAGAAAGGCUUUCAAGGGUACUUUUCUUGUCGCUGGGGGUUAUGACAGGGAAGAUGGAAACAAAGCUAUUGCUGAAGGCCGUGCAGAUCUUGUUGUUUAUGGUCGCUUGUUCUUGGCUAAUCCAGAUUUACCCAGGAGAUUUGAGCUCAAUGCUCCCCUCAAUAAGUACAACAGAGAAACAUUCUACACAUCCGAUCCUGUUGUUGGUUACACAGAUUAUCCAUUUCUCAACACCUCUUCUUUGGUUACCAAGAAAAAUGAUUAGACUGAUAAAGCAUUAUCUCGGAUUUAAUCCUGUUUUCUGAUUGUUUAUAGAUGUACUGUGUUUAUGUAAAAGCCAAUAUAGGUUAUCUCAAUAAAAUUGUAUUGGCGUAAGGCCAAGCUCUAUACCUAUACGUUUCACAUACACUUCCUCUCUCAUUCCAAUUGAGACUGCAAUUCUCAAAAAUCACAAGGAUAAAAGAAAGACGAAGCAUUGUGGAAUCAAACUCAAAACCAUCCUUUCGUCUCAUAAAUUGGAAAACGAAUUAACAUGGAGCAAUUCAUCACCAGCAUGUUUGAAUACAUACUUAGCUUUCCCUUCCGUUAAUUUCAAAAUACUUACACUACUCCAAAUUGACAAAACAUAAAACAGGUCUUCACACGUGUGCAUACGGGCUUGGCCCAUUUCUCAGCCAUUUGAUGAAAACUAAAUUUAUAUAUUAUUUUGGAUUAAAAUCAGUUAGUAGAAUUGAUUUGAAUUGGUCAAGGUUCGUAUCUAAAAUAAAAUAUUUAAUCUAAAACUAUAAAAGAGUAAAACUAAACCUAAUUGUAUUCGAUUAACACCACACAUGUACAGAAUAACAAUGACACAUCUCUUUCUUCUAUAGUACUUUUUGUCUAAAAAUGUACUAGAAUGAAAGGAGACUGAAGCCUAUUUUGGCUUUUUCAUUCGCUCACUAGUUGGGUGUUCUUUUACAAUUUUCCAUAGUACUUCUCGAAGGAAUUUGGGUGAUUAACUCCGUCUUUUAGCUUUUAUUUGCGGAUAAUAUAGGGUAGGUGAGCUAAGUUAUUGCUGGAUUCAUAGCUAAGUAUGGAUACAGAGGAUUUAUUGCGCAAGGGUCAGGCUGUCGUUCUAAAAGAAGAAGAAGCAGGCAUAGUAGCAUUCAUGGGGCAAAUGAGGAUUAAGGGAGAAGAAGUUGCUGCGAAUUGUCUAGUAGGGAAGGUGUUGCUUUCACGAAGCAUAAACAAGGAAGGCUUGAAAGCAGCUAUGCAAAUAGCUUGGAGAACAGUGAAGGAGGUAAAAAUUGAAAGCAUGGGGGAUAAUAUUUUUCUCUUCAAGUUUGCUUCAGAAUAAGAAAAGAAAAGAGUGCUUAUGGGAGGGCCAUGGCAUUUUGACAGAGCACUGAUAGUUUUGAUCGAACCAUCCGACAUUGGUGAUAUCAAAAAUUAAUCCUUUACGCAUACAACAUUUUGGGUACAGAUCCAUAAUAUACUCAUAAUGUGCAUGAACAAGGAGGCAAUUGAAAAACUAGGUGAAAAGAUUAGUGGGAUCAAGGAAAUAGAGACAGACGAAGCCGGGGAUUGCAUAGGACAGUUUGCUCGAGUAAGAAUCUCCCUUGACAUUACUCAGCCAUUAAAAAAGAUUGUGUUUUUACAACAAGAUGAAGGAAAAAUUCCAAUGCCAAUCCUGUAUGAAAAGCUACCGGACUUUUGCUUUUGUUGCGCGCAUGUAGGUCAUCAGUACAGAGAGCGCAUGUAGGUCAUCAGUAUAGAGAGUGCCUGAGGUAAAAAGGACAACAUCUAAUGUUGAGUGUAACAGAGCAGGAAAACCAGCAAGUGGUGCAUUAAAGCAGGGUGGUGACAUCAACAAGUUGCAGGACAGAGUGACUAGUAAUGAUAGCCAAUCUAGAUAUGAACGCAAAAAAGGCGGAAAAGAAGGAUUGGAGGGAAAAUGAAAAUCUUGUAGAAAAAGACAAUGUGGGGAACAUGGAAAAUAAAAUGGAGGAGGACACGGGGGGUGCCAGAUCAGAUGAAGAGGAUUUGGAUAAUGGGCCCAGCAAGGCCACCGUGAAAUCCAAAGGAAGAAAAUGGAAAUUGCGGGCAAGAAACACCAAAGGAGAAGGAGCAAAUAAUAUUACUUUCGUAGAAAGUAAAAGACACAACAGUGAAGGCCAUGGGCCUAGCCUAGAGAGCAAAAAGAGGGGAGUGUCCAGUCCAAAAAAGCAACCAUAGGAAGGAAAACACAUAAGCCUAGCAAAAGCAUUAGACAACUGCAACCAUUUUAGCCCCAACAAAGUAGCUCGCUAGUUGAAGCAAGCAGAAGAAGUGCUUGAUGCAGGGGAAAACUUGUAAGCAAUGGAUGAAGACCUAUCGGCGGGUGCUGAUGAUCAACCCCACCGACAACCAUAAAGAUCCUCAGCUGGAACGUUCGAGGUCUGGGGAAGCCUCAAACGCACUUAGCAAUUAGAAAAGUUCUAUACCUGCACCGGUUCUAAAUACUAUUUUGUUGUGAAACUAAGAUGAUGGCUAGGUAGGUCAAUUUAAUUUACAGAAGUUUUAAUUUUGUAAAUUGUUUUGCUGUGGACAAAAAUGGUUUGGGUGGAGGCCUAGCUAUGCUCUAGGGAGUAGACGUUAAUGUCAAUAUCACCUCAUACAGGCCCCACCAUAUAGAUGCAAUAGUGAGUAGUGAAAGUGGCUUGGUUUGGAGAUGUACGGAGAUUUAUGGCCACCUAAAGCUCAGCCAGAAGCGUAGCACAUGGACCAUUCUAAAAAGGUUAGCUAAUCUUUCUUCCCACCCUUGGUGUUGCUUUGGGGAUUUCAAUGAAGUGAUGCAUAUGUUUGAGAAAAAUGGGAGCAGAAUGUAAAUGUGGUUGUCGAGUUUAGAGAGGUUGUGGGCUGCAAGGGGUACCCGUAUACAUGGUCUAAUAAGAGAUUUGAUGCUAAUUACAUAGAAAAAUGGCUGGACAGAUUCUUGUGUAGUAAGGAUUGGGGCAAAAAAUUUUAAGACUCUACAGCCACAAACCUUGUUAAUUGGGUCUCGAAUCACUGUCCAAUAUUCUUAGAAUUCAAAUAGAGAUGCAAGAAGUCGAGGACUGUGAGCAUAUCGUUUCCUGUGAUCACUAUGAGGAUAUGUAGAGUUCUUACGAAGACUGUAAGAGCAUAGUAAAAGAUGAGUGGGGAAACUAUGGGGCUAGAGCUUGGGAGGAUCCUGCUCACCAAUUUCAGCGGAUAGCAAAAAAGUCUUUAGCUCAGCUUAAGCUUUGGAGUAAAAAUGAAUUUGAAGGAAGACAAAGAAAAUAAGAAAAGCUGUUUCAGAGCCUUCAGAAUGCUAUGCAAAGAAGCUCUAAGCUGACUGAUGGAGAGGAGAUUAGGAAGAUUGAAAGCCAGAUCAAUUCCACGCUUAUUGACGAGGACAUCUAUUGGAAGCAACGAUCGGGGGCUGACUGGCUAAGAAAAGGAGACAAAAACACUAAGUUUUUCCACGCCAAAGUUUCUGCCCGUAAAAGAAAGAAUAAGGUGUGGGGGGUAGAAAACUCUCAAGGCGUCUGGCUAAGGGAGAGAGAUGAUAUAGAAAAGGAAUUCUGCGGUUACUUCCAAGAACUCUUCACUACAUCCAGCCCAACUCCAAGCCAAAUUCAAGCUGCUCUUUAAGGAAUGCCGGUAAAAGUAACAUAAAAAAUGAAUGCCCAGCUGGAGAAGCCCUUCACUCCAGAGGAUAUAGAGGAGGCUCUAGGACAGACGUGCCCCAGAAAAGCCCCAGGUCCAGAUGGCUUAACUGCUGUAUUUUUUCAGAAGCAUUGGAAAUUAAUUCGCAAUGGAGUUGUUACAACAUGUCUUCAUAUCCUUAAUGAGCAAGGUAACCCGUCUCCUCUUAACCAUACUUUUAUCACCUUGAUCCCUAAAAUUGCUAAGCCUAAGAGAGUCUCUGAUUACAGGCCUAUAAGCCUGUGUAAUGUAAUUUAUAGAGUCGUAGCUAAGGCUAUUGCAAAUAGAAUGAAACCGAUCCUCUCCCAAAUCAUUUCUCCAAUGAAGAGUGCAUUCAUACCCAAUAGGACUCAUUACAGACAAUGUUAUUAUUGGUUAUGAAUGCCUCUAUAAGAUAAGACACUGUAAAGGGAAGAUGAAUGAUCUUGUGGCUCUUAAGCUAGAUAUUAGUAAGGCGUAUGAUAGAGUUGAAUGGUCUUUUUUGAAUCAAACAUUGUUAAGGCUGGGUUUCUCACCUAAUUGGGUGGAUUUGAUUAUGAGGUGUGUCUCUACUACCUCACUCUCGGUGAUUAUUAAUGGUGUGCCAAAGGGAAUAAUUCAGCUGGAAAGAGGUCUGAGGCAGGGCUGUCCGCUAUCUCCAUAUCUCUUUAUCAUCUGUGCUGAGGCGUUCUCCAAUAUGCUUGUGAAGGCGGAAAAGAUUCAGCUAAUCCGAGGUCUGAAAUUUACAAAAAAAAGUCUCAAUUACCCACUUGCUGUUUGCGGAUGAUAGCCUGGUUUUUUAUCGUGCUUCAGUGGCUAAUUGUAAGCAUCUGAAGGAGAUUUUCGACAACAAUGCAGCAGCUUCUGGGCAGAUUUUUAAUUUUCAGAAAUCCUCCUUGUUCAUUAAUGGUUGAAUCCCUGCAAGUCAAACAGCUGCUAUUAAGGACAUUUUCAAGUUAAAUAUGGUCUCCAAGUAUGAAAAAUACUUAGGCCUCCCCUCAAUGAUAGGAAGAGAGAAGCUGAGCUUUUUCGAUGAAGUAAAACUAAAAGUUUUAAACAAGAUCAUAGGGUGGCAGCAUAAAAGGUUUUCGAGUGGGGGUAAGGAAAUCUUUAUUAAAGCGGCAGCCCAAGCUAUCCCAGCUUACGCAAUGAGUGUGUUCAAGCUUCCGAGAGGUCUUUGAGAUGACAUUCAACGGGCUAUAGUGAAGUUUUGGUGGGGAACGAAGGAAGAUAAGCAAGGUAUCCAUUGGUUAAAAUGGGAGAAGCUCAGCCAUGCAAAAAACAGAGGUGGGAUGGGAUUUCGGGAUUUUACUAGCUUUAACCAAGCCUUGGUGGCAAAGCAAGCUUGGAGGUUUCUGCAGUACCCAAAUUCUCUGGUCUCAAGAGUCCUUCAAGCAAGAUAUUACAAGAACUCCAGCUUUCUAGGUGCAUCGGUAGGGUCCAAUGCUUCAUUCAUCUGGAAAAGCAUUCUUUGUGGCAGAGAAGUAAUCAAGAAAGGUUUUAGAUGGCGGGUGGGCAAUGGCAAGAACAUAUCUGUUUACAAGGAUAAUUGGAUGCCAAGGCCGAAUACGUUCAAGCCAAUCUCCCCCCUACUUUGCCAGCAGACAUAGUGGUGACAGACCUAAAUAAGGAAGAUAACCAUUAGGAUGAAGACAAUCUGAACCAACACUUUAUGGAAGUAGAUGCAGCAAUGAUUCUUAAGAUUCCUCUCCCAAAAGAACAUUUGGAUGAUGAUGUUUUAUGGCAUUAUGAUAAAAGGGGAGAAUACUCGAUCAAAAGUGGGUACUAGCUAGCCUUAAGAAUGAAAUUUUCAGUUGCUCCUAGUAGCUCAGAGAGCAUGUCUCAGUAUUGGAGUGCCCUUUGGUCCCUGGAGCUACCUGAAAAAAUAAAAAUAUUCAUGUGGAGGGCAUCAAACAAUCUGCUCCCAUCAACAGAAAAUAUGUGGAAAAGAAAAGUCAUUCAAGAGCCAACUUGUCAAAUAUGUAGAAAGAGCAUAGAAUCUAUAAGCCACGCCUUAUUGGAGUACAAGGCAGCAAAAUCGAUCUGGCUACAAUCUCCCUUUACAGUUCCAAGCUUUAAAGACCAUUCUCAGGAAAUUUUUAGCAUUUUGCAAGGAAUGGCCAAUGAGUUAAGGAAAGCUGAUUUGGAAUUAAUGGUGUGCUGGGCUGUAUGGUUUUCUAGAAACAAAUUUAUUUUCGAAGGCAAGAAGAUAGCCCCCAAUAUCUCAACUGCAAAGGCAAAGUCUGUUUUGGAUGCAUUUCAAAGAGUAAGGAAGACAUACCCCUCUCAUAUUGCCUACUCCAGUGGAGAGAAGCUGCAGAAGUCGAUUCCCCCCCUCCCCGAAAAUGUCUUCAAAGUUAAUGUCGACGCUGCCAUUAAUGCCAAGGAUCAGACUACAGGAGUGGGAGUAGUCAUCAGAGGAAUAAACGGCAAGGUAAUUGCAGCCGGCAUCAAUCAAUCUUCUCUAAAGGGAACGGUAAGUAAUGCAGAGGUCGAGGCUAUGUUAUGGGGAAUUCAAGUGGCGAGAGAAGCAAAUUUAGCCUCCUUGAUCAUUGAGUCAGAUUGCUUAGAGGUGGUCCAGUUAGUAAACAACACUAAGGGUAGCAAAACAAAAAAUUUUUGGACAAUUCUAGAGAUCCAAAAUUAGUUGAAGGAUUUUCACAAAGUAGCAGUCCAUCAUACUCCAAGAUAAUGUAAUGCUUAUGCUCAUUCCUUAGUUAAGUUAGCUUUGGGGAGAAACUCUUCUUCUAUCUGGUUAGGAACUAUCCCAACUAAGAUUCAAGUUGUAUUUAAUGUAUUGUGAUUUAUGAAAGGUUUACUUUCUUUUUUUUAAAAAAAAGCACCACACAUGUACUGAGCAUUCACGCAUACCUACAAAUCAGUGGCAGCAUAGUAAUUGGCAUGGCAGUUUGCAUGACAAGAUACACAACACAGUAGACUCACCAGACAGCACACACACAACAGUAGUCACUGACUCACCAACGCAACCGCGUGAAGCCAGGCCAUCGUGAGUCUGCGACAUGCUGACACAAUACACCUUGACCACUGCUGCAACUUGCUCCACCUUGAUCGAUAGCCAUUAAGUUCCUCCAACUUACUUUUUUCAAUAAACAUUACUAUACUAUAUAUAUUAUAUUAAAUAAUUAAUUUCCAAAUUUCUAUUACGUUUAUAACUUUUCAAGUUCAAUGAUUUUUGUAUGCUUAAUAAGACUACUCAGCAAGAAAAAGUCACAAUUUAUCCAUGAUUUUAGUUAGAAUUAGUAAUAUAGUGAAUAGGAGUAUAGAGAUCAUUUUUUUUAAUUUUAAUUUGAAUACAAAUCAAACCCUAUAAAUUUAUAUAAGAAAAUGUAUGUUAAAAUUUUAUUCCUAAAUAAUCAUCAUGUAAAAUUCUGUUUCAUUGUUUUUUGCUUAGAUUGAGACUAAUUAAUUUAUUAAUUGAAAUUGUAUUGUUAAUUGUUUUUAGCACAAUUAUCCUAGUCUUAUUAUUAAUUGUUAUUUUUAAAUGUACUGGGGAUGUUUGAGAUUGUGAGUGUUGUGGUGAUAUUUUAAUAGUUUUAUGUUUUGAAUUAAUGAUGACUAUUCAUUUUUUUGUAUGUUCAAGUGACUAGACACUCAAGAUCAAAUUUCACAAUUGAUGAUGAGGCACAAAGUGAACAACUAAAAGGAAAUCAAAAAGGGAGGGAAAAGACGAAGCAAGCGAAAAAUACAGCAAAUGAAAAAAAAGAUUUCUAAUGUGGAAUCAUCUCACUUUAUGUAAGGACAAUUUAAACAAAUGCUAGUGCAACUAUUGUGGUAAACAAUAUCAAUGCCAUUCAAGGCAUGAGGAGAUUAUCAAUAUGAGAAAUAAUAUAAAAAAUUAUAACAUAUACAAGACAUUCCAACAACAACAAGAAGAAAAUCGGCAGAAGUUGAUAGUUGAGGAUGGUGAAGGAAUUGCAAGUAACAUGGUUUUGGCUAAACGAUAGGAUGAGUGGAUGACAAGUGGCUCAAUUAUUUGUUUGAUACAUACAUGAAUAAUCUAUAUUCCAAGUUCCAACGGUUGCAUUUAAAUUCGCCAAUAGCAGAAAAGAAAAGAAAAGUAAAUCAAUAUCUUUGCAUAAAUUUGUAAUUUUUUAAUUUACUUUUUCUCUUCAAUUCUUCUCUAGGGGAUCCGUCCUCCAACUUCGAAUACAAGAAGUUGAAGUUAGAACUUGUCCAAAUAUUUACGUGAAGGAAGGUUAUUUAAUAUUUAUGUUUAAAUUUUGUUGUUUUAGAAAUAGUUUAUUUUUAGACUUUGUAUUGGAAACUAUUUAAUUAUAUUUAAACUUUGUGAUCUUUGUGUUUUGAAGGCUAUUUAUAUUUGAAUAUCGUGCUUUGGGUGGAGGCUAUUAAAUUUAGAAUUUGUGUUUAUUUUAAUUUGUAUACAUUUGAUUUUAAUGGUAGUAGACUAGUAGUUUUCAUUUUUUUUUAGAAUUGGUAAAAACAAACUAAAAUGAGAUAAUUAUAAGAAAAUAAUUUUCUAGUAACUACAUAAUUUGUAAAGAAAACUCAAAAUAUACAAAAUAAAAGCUCAAAAUUGCCCAUGACUCGAAUCGACCCAAAUCCAAUUUUAAACCGAACUCAAUUCGAUCCAUCUAUAAUCCUAGCUCAGUCAACUUGAACUAAACCCGAACGUUUGAUCUAAUCCGAAUACAUACGGAUUAGAUUAGAUCAUAUUACAGUUCGGAUUGAGUUUGAAUAACUUUUUUCUCAAUCCAACUAACUCGAAAUCCGAUUGGAUUGAUUCAAACCCAUUUUUGCCCACCCCUAUUCAAUAUUGAUGCAAUUGCAUUGUUUUGAUUCUUACGCAACACUUGUCGAACUACAUCAUUAUAUACAAUGUUAUGAACUACUUGGGUUAUAUUGGAAGAAAUAUGAACACGUGGAAAAAUCAGCAACCGCUGUCAUAAGUAUCCUAUUUUGGUAACCAGUACAUUAGAAUCACUUUCAAUCCAUUCUGCAGUUUCCCCAUUUUGGCAUAAAUUUCCCUACCAACAGUCAGGGAUGUCCACACAAGCUUGCUCGUUAUGUGCCGGGAUCCUUUGCAAAGUAAGAAACAUGUAGCUCCUUUUGAAGAAGUGAAAAAAAAAAAUCAUAUCUAAGAAAUAUCUGGGCUGAUGGAAAUAUAUAAUGAAGUAUCCGGGUUUCUAAGGGAAAUAUGAGUCAGAGAAUUAGGACUCAUUAUUUAUCUCGUUGGACAGCUUGAAUUUAAUUCUGUUUCACUUUCAUUUUUGUUUCUUGUAAAUAUUUAUCUUGAUUUAUAGAUAUGGCCUUUGCAUAUACAAAUGAAUUAAAUACCUGAUAAAAAAGGAUACAUCAUUAAUCAUCCACAUAAAUUUUAAGAAAACUUGAUUUUUCGAUGAUUAUGUACCUGUGUUUCUAAGGGCACUAUCACAUAUUGUUGUCAAAGAAAUACCAAUAAGCAAACAUACCUAACACCUAGUGUUAUAUACAAAUGAAGACCCUUCAAUAUAUAAUUACUGGAAUAUGGCAAAAUUUUAUAAAAUAAAAUUUAUAUAUAUGAUUAUUUCCGAAGAUAGCCAGCUCACCAUUACUUGUUUCGUCCAUGCUUUCAUUCGAAUGCAAAUCCUUAAAAAAAAUGAUGUGAAUUAGAGUAACUUGAUUUCUUAAAAAAAUUAUGAAUAUCCUUUAGCAUAAUACACUCUUUUGUAAUUUUAACUUACAUUAUUUGCAGCAAGUUAGAGCAACCUUUAUUUGCGUGCACAUUACUGAAAUGUUAAAUUGAACUUGUGUACAAGCACAGUAGGCUGCAUACAUUUGUGAAGUACUUUCCAAUUAUGGUCUAGUUUGGGGUUUGAGGUUGAGCAACUGUAACUUAAAAACUAGUAAGCACUAGCUGUUGUAACUUAGAAACUAAGUUAAUUUGAUUUUAUAUUUGUAUGAUAAAAAAAUUAUUAUAUAUAUUUACUAAUUUUGUUAAAAAAAAUUUUACUACAUAUUACUAAGACCAUUCAUACAACAACUAUAAUUUAAAAGUUAGAACACAUUAAUAUCAAACAAGACCUAUAUGAGUUUCUAAUUCGAUUAAGACCAUUUUUGCAUGAAGUGAAAUCCAAAGCAAGCUACCUAUAGCAUCUUUCAUGGCAACACUUAUACCUCCAAAACAAGUUAUGAUAAUACUCAAAUGCUUGAUUACAAGUGGGAAAGGUUGGAUUUGCCAUGACUACUUCUGGAACACUCAAAUUCUUCACAAAAGUAAAACUAAUAAAAUGAAAAUUUGUUGAUGUUGAGAGGGCAAAGAAUGGCAAGGAGAGACAUAUUUCCAUUGAAACUUUGCAAAUUCAAUGUCUUUUAGAUUGAGUGUCUUUUAUUUAAAAUUAUCAUGGAAGUUAAAAAUCGAGGGAGUUCAUUUAAGAGAGUGGGUGAGAGUGAGUAAAACUCCGAGAUUCAAACACAGGGUAGUCAGUAGGUAAAGAGCAAACUUGUUGUUCGUCAUCUAUGGACACAGUGGAGUUAAUAUGUAAAUGCAAAGCUAUUUCUAUAUGAGAUGGCAGUGAACGAAAGCUAUCAAUUAGAAGCGGAAUGCAAGGAAAAAGAGGGCGUAUAAUGGAAAAUUCUCUAGUUGGGAAAAUUCUAUUUGUUGAGUACAUAAAGGCACCAGGUCGGCCAUGCUACUGGUUCCGCCCCGGCACAGAUCGUUUCAGCUAUAUGGUACGAGCAGAACACGGGGUUAAACAGGAGCCGACCCGAGAUGAGUGCGACCAUGAAAACAUACUGACCAGAAGUAUACGCCGAGCCGAUACUCAUCCCCAGGAAAGCGGGAACACGAUCUCACAAAAUCGCGGUAGUUGCGCUUCUCCCAGAACGGUUGAAGGACACGCGAGAUCCACGUUUGCCCACAAUCUAACAGUUAGAGUCCCAUGAGGGGUUACCACCACCCGAAAAAGGAGGGAUAAGGGGCAAACGAAAAACGUGGGACAAAGGGCGGCUAUAAAAGAGAAAGACAUCGAAGAAGACAGGACAGAAAAAAUUGAGAGAGGGGAAACGCUGCCAAAUUCCAACCAGGCCAUUUCCUUACAAAUUUCUUAAAUCCAUAUUACACUGUUUUCCCGUAAACACCUUGUGCUAACUUAGGCAUCGGAGGGUUUACGCCGGCAAAACCACCGGCGUCUCUGAUCCGUGUUUGCUGAACGCAGGUCUAGUGAGAGAGGGAAGGGCGAUUCCAACCCCAGUGGUUCGAGUGACAGUUGAUAACACAAACGUUGGUGACAGAAUCUGGUCGGUCCAAGGGCGAGCAGAUUUCAGCAUCAACAUUUUGGCGCCGUCUGUGGGGAGCUGAAUAAAAAGUUACCACCAAGUUAGUAAUUACCUGAGAAGUAGCGAACGAUUGGAUAUGGAUGCGUCAAGAAAGGAUACUUUAAGGGAGGAUAAUGAAACGGUGGAGACAAUCACUCUACGGGGGAUUGCAAAUGAAGCCCGAGAGAGGAUGAUGCAAGAUAGACUGGAGCGGAUGGAGAAACAAAUGGAGACUCUCGCGGCCGUAUUGUUUGAGCUGAGGGACGAGCGGAGAAGGGAUUAUGAAACCCCCGUGGGAAGAGAUGGAGUUGGAGCAGAACCUAGUCUCCGGGGGCGUAGGGUCGGGGAGAUCCCUCCACCCGCAGACCAACCUAACGGAGUGCAUCCCCACCGAAGUACUGGCCGGGUCCCAGGGGAACACGUGGAUGAAGGGAGAGACCAACCUCGCCCCGGACGGGUACUGGAAAUAAAUGGCCGAGGGGCCAGUGUUGAUGAAGGAGAGCUCAGACAGCGGUUGCAGAACGUCGAGCAGGAGCGAGACCAGAUAGCUGCACGUGAUCCUGAUCGCGCUAUAGAAUUGGAGGGGGAGGUGCGCAGAUUGGCGCAGGUGAUAGAGGAGAUGCAGGGCAAGAGAAAGCCCCCGAGCUGGAGGAUAAUGCUAGAUGAAGAAUCUCCGUUAUCAAUUGAGAUCAUGAGCACCAUAAUCCCAAGAGAUUUCCGCUUCCCUGACCUCAAAUACUCCGGGCGAAGUGACCCGUUGGUGCACAUUGAGCGUUUCAACGACAUGACGGGUGUGCAGGGGCUGACACCAGCUCAGAGAUGCAGGGUGUUCCCGUUGACACUAGAGGGACGAGCCCGAGAAUGGUACCGCAAGCUGCCCCGAGGAGGAAUAAAGGGGUAUGAGCAGAUGUGCCAGGAGUUGGCCGAGCAGUUCCGAGGGGCGGUGGCCCCAGAGGAUGACAUGAUGGAGCUGAUGGGGAUGAAGCAGGAGGAGCAUGAAUCCCUUCGCGAUUUCGUAAAACGAUAUCACCGAGCCGUGCUGGAUUUGGGAGCUUUUAAUCACCCGCAGGCGUUGUGGGGAUUAAAAGAAGGUGUAAGAAUCGGCCGAUUGUGGUAUAACUUAAGAAGCCCCCUUGUACAGAAUUACUCGUCGGGGUAUGAGCAAGCGAAACGAGAUAUAGAGAUCGAAGAGGAAAAAUCAGCAAGAAUUAAAAGUGAACAGCUGGAAGAGCUGAGGCGAAGAGAACGGAGAGCCCCGAAAGGGAGCGGGUCGGGAAAGCGAACAGGAGAAUCUUCGGGGAUGGGCGGAAUAUCAGCUCGGUCUCGCCCUUACCCCAUAGCUCAGAGAACACAACAGUUCCAACACAGCCGGGCUCAACCUCCGCGCCCCCCGAUCCCAGAACGGCAGCGAGAAUUCAGGCAGGUGACUGCCCACCCUUACCACCGCACUCCCAGAGAGGUAAACGCGACCAAUUACAGGUCUGGCCGACCAGAGCAGUUACCGGCUAUACCAGCCCGAAGUGACGUCCAUGAUAGCCGAGCAGUGCAGUUGGUUGACCAGAACGCGGCAUAUAGACGAUAUACUCCUUUAAAAGUCUCCAUGGAGGAACUAUAUGAAAGGAUCGAGGGACGAGGACUGCUGUAUACUCCGGCCCCUAUAACGAAACCCGCUCACCGGCGUGAUAAGAGCAGGUUCUGCAAAUUCCACAACAUUCACGGUCAUACUAUCAGCCAAUGCCGUGACCUAAGGAUUCAGGUGGAGGAUUUGGUGAGGAACCAAUACUUGGAUGAGUACGUAGAUGAAGUGUUCCCCGUCAGUGAGUCGCAAUAUGCACAGGAUGAAGGAGUUGAAAGGGGUUUGGAAUAAGAACAGCCGACUAUCCAAGUUAUAGCAGGAGGGCCAACAUUGGCCGGGGAUUCAAACAGGGCACGGAAGAACUAUGGGAGAUAUGCCCUGACUAGCAAAGAAAUGUUUUUCAAUUUGCCAGCAGCCAAGAGGGCAAAAGUGCGGCAAGUUCCUAUUAUGUGGACAGAGGACGACGAAGAAGGCAUUUUAUACCCUCACGAGGAUGCGCUGGUGAUUAAAGCAUUGGUGGCCAGUACAGAAUUGCGGCGAAUACUGGUAGAUACGGGCAGCUCAGUAGACAUUCUGUUUAAGUCGGCCUUAGAUGAUAUGGGGAUUUCAGAUUUAAAGCUGGAGCGAACGAAUACAUCCUUGAAGGGAUUUGGAGGGGGACGGUUAACUCCCAUGGGGGUCAUUGAACUCCCGAUUACUGUAGGGACAAAGCCACUUGAAAGAACGAUGAUGCUGGACUUUGUAGUGGUAGAGGAAAGAAGUCCUUACCAGAUGAUAUUGGGGAGACCGUUCAUGAGGAUAAGCCAAUGUGUAAUGUCAACGCAUUAUCUGGCGCUGAAGUACAGAAUAAAUGGAGUUGUGGGUGUAGUAAAGGGCGACCAGAGAAUGGCCAGGAGCUGCUAUGCUACAGCGGCCAAGGAAACGCUGCAAGUUACCUCUCUAGAUAACCGAGGGGAUUCAAAAAAUGGUCGUCAGGAACCGGUUGAGAAGCUGGAGGAAGUUGUUGUAAGAAGGAGUGACCCUAGCAGAGUUGUUAAGGUCGGAUCAGAAUUGGGUAGAGAAAUAAAGACAGAGCUGGUGAAGUGUCUACAGUCCCAUGCAGACGUAUUUGCUUGGUCUCAUGAGGAUAUGCCAGGUAUUGAUCGCGGGAUAGCUUGUCACAAGUUGGCGGUCAAGAGAGGGGCAAAGCCGGUGAGACAGAAAAGGAGGUGCUUCAACCACGAAAGGUACGAAGCCAUAAAUGCCGAGGUGGAAAAGCUGCUGAAAGCAGGAUUUAUAAGGGAAGCUAAGUACCCGGAGUGGAUUUCCAAUGUGGUAUUGGUAAAGAAGGCCAAUGGGAAGUGGAGAAUGUGUGUAGACUUCACGGACCUCAAUAAGGCAUGCCCGAAGGACAGCUUUCCCCUGCCAAAAAUAGAUCAGCUGGUGGACUCAACCGCGGGUCAUAGUCUGCUUAGUUUCAUAGAUGCCUUCUCCGGAUACAACCAGAUACCCAUGAACGAGCAGGAUGAGGAAAGCACCACAUUUAUAACUAACAUGGGUUUGUUUUGUUACAGGGUGAUGCCCUUUGGCCUGAAAAAUGCAGGAGCUACCUAUCAAAGGUUAGUGAACAAGGUCUUCAAACCAUUGAUCGGUCGCACUAUGGAAGUAUAUGUGGACGAUAUGAUCACCAAGUCAAGAGAACCGAAAGACCAUGUGAAGCACUUGGAAGAGACUUUCGAAUUGCUGAGGAGGUACAAAAUGAAGCUGAACCCGGAGAAAUGUGCAUUUGGGGUCAGCUCGGGCAAAUUUUUAGGAUACCUGGUGAGCCAUCGAGGUAUUGAAGCCAACCCAGAAAAGAUACGGGCAGUGAUAGAAAUGAGGUCCCCACGAACAGUUAAGGAGGUGCAGAGCCUUACGGGGAAGUUGGCAGCAUUGAACCGAUUCAUUUCGCGAGCCACUGAUAAAUGUCACCCUUUCUUCCAAGUCAUAAAGAAAGGGAAGAAGAUGGAAUGGACACCGGAAUGCGAGGGGGCAUUUGGACAGCUGAAGGAAUAUCUAGCCCACGCCCCGUUACUAUCAACUCCGAGAGAGGGUGACCAGCUGCUCUUAUACUUGGCAAUCUCUAAGCAGGCUACCAGCUCGGUCUUAGUCAGGGAAGUAGAAGGGAAGCAACACCCGGUAUACUACACAAGCAAGGCCCUGGUGGACGCAGAAACCAGAUAUCCACUAAUGGAGAAGUGGGCGCUGGCUUUGAUAACGGCAGCACGCAAACUCCGACCAUACUUCCAAGCCCACCAGAUCGUUGUGAUGACUGACCAGCCACUUCGGCAAGUACUUCAAAAACCAGAUGCGUCUGGUCGGUUAGUAAAAUGGUCCGUGGAGCUGAGCGAAUUUGACCUGUCCUACAGGCCCCGAGGAGCAAUCAAGGCCCAAGCCCUGGUAGAUUUUAUGGUGGAUCGUGUUGAACCGGGGGAAGAGGUCCAAGAGGAACAAUCGGUAGAGCACGAGGAUUCAAAGGAGAUAUGGCUGGUAAUGGUUGACGGAUCAUGUAGUGAGCAAGGAUCCGGAGCAGGAGUUGUAAUACGGAGCCCAGAGGGAACCGAGGUAACAUACGCGGUGAAGUUCGAAUUUCAGCUCACAAACAACCAAGCUGAGUAUGAAGCCUUUAUCACCGGGCUCGGACUUGCACACGCUCUCAGAGCAGAGAGAGUAGAAAUUCGAGCAGAUUCCCAAUUGGUGUGUAAUCAGCUCAAUGAUCAGUUUCAAGCGAGGGGAGAGAAGAUGAGUCUUUAUUUGAAGAAGGCGAAGCAGAUGGUUGGGCUUUUCCAAGCAGUGGAGGUAAAGCAGAUAUCCCGGAAUGAGAAUUUCCGAGCCGAUAUGCUGGCUAGGAUGGCAGCCAUCGCAGAUCCAAAAUUACCGAAGUCAGUUCCACUAGAGGUAAGGACCUCACCAAGUAUUGAGGAAGAAGCAGAGGUGAUGAGUGUAAAUAUUGGAGAAUCCUGGAUGGACCCGAUUCGCGCAUAUGUCCGCGAUGGAGUUUUACCGAAAGACAAAAGGCAAGCAAGAAAGUUAAAAUGCCGAGCAGCGAGGUACACGCUACUAGAUGGAGUGCUAUACCGCCGAGGGUUCACCUUACCCCUUUUGAGAUGUUUGGAUGAUGAGGAGGCGGAUUAUGUGCUGAGAGAGAUUCAUGAGGGAAUAUGCGGCAAUCACUCGGGAGCAAGAACUUUAGCCUUCAAGGCACUCCGGCAAGGAUACUUUUGGCCAACCAUGCACCAGGAUGCCAAAAGGAUGGCCAAGAAUUGUAAAACAUGCCAAAGCUUCUCCGAGGUUCCUGCACAACCACCGGAGAAACUGACGGCUAUGACAUCCCCAUGGCCUUUCGCUCAAUGGGGAAUCGACUUGAUUGGUCCAUUACCAAAGGGACGAGGAGCGGCGACACAUGCAAUCGUGGCAAUAGACUACUUCACCAAGUGGGUGGAAGUAGAAGUCCUCAGCCAGAUCACAGAGAGGAAGACAACAUAUUUUAUUUGGAAAAACAUCAUCUGCAGAUAUGGGAUCCCCUACGCCAUCAUCACAGACAAUGGGAGGCAAUUUGACAACGGCAACUUCAGGGAAUUUUGCCGAAACCUGGGGGUGGACCUGAAGUUCUGCACCCCCACACACCCCCAGGCAAACGGGCAAGUGGAAGCAGCCAACAAGGUGAUAAAGAAGCUCCUAAAGACUAGAUUGGGGGAGAAGAAGGGAGCUUGGGUUGACGAGCUACCAGGGGUACUGUGGGCCUACAGGACAACUCACAAAACCGCCACAGGAGAAACACCGUUCGCUUUAGCUUUUGGUCAUGAGGCGGUAAUCCCAGCAGAGAUUGGAGUGGGGACACAUAGAACGGAACAUUUCGUUGAGGAGCAAAAUGACGAGCAGAUCUGCUUAAGCCUAGACCUGCUGGAGGAGAAAAGGGAAGGGGCCUCGCAGAAAGUGGCCCAAUGUCAGCAAAGGGUCAUGCGUUAUUACAACAAGAAUGUAUGCGUGAGGCAGUUCCGAGCAGGAGAUUGGGUACUUAGGAAGGUGAACCAGAACACCAGGAAUCCUAACCAUGGCGCUCUUGGCCCAAAGUGGGAAGGCCCAUACCGAGUGAUACGACCCACUGGACCAGGAGCAUAUAAAUUAGCGUGCCAAGACGGACGAGACGUGAAGAGAUCAUGGAACGCCGAACACCUGAAGAAGUACUUCCAGUAAGCAAAAUGCUCUAUUAAAUCCUCACUCUGGCAAGUUAUUUCUGUUACAAUGCCUGAUGGCCUGUCGCACAUGCAUAUAUUCUAUGUUUUUGUAAUACAUUCAAAUUUCAAUAAAGAUGAAUUCAGCAUGAAAUCCCCCUGCUAGCAAGAUCAAUAAAAAUUUCACUAAGACAAGUGCUACUUCUGCUCGGUCAACGAAGACCAGCAGCUAAAGCUUCAAAAUUUAUACUAAGGCAUCAAAGUGCCUGUUUCUGCUCGGUCAACGAAUGACCAGCAGCUAAAGCUACGAACACUCUCCUAGGGCAAGUGCCUACUUCUGCUCGGUCAACGAAGACCAGCAGCUAAAUCCUCGAAAGUUCACUAAGGCAAGUGUCUACUUCUGCUCGGUCAACGAAGACCAGCAGCUAAAGCUUCAAAAUAUCUACUAAGGCAACAAAGUGCCUGUUUCUGCUCGGUCAACGAAUGACCAGCAGCUAAAGCUACGAACACUCUCCUAGGGCAAGUGCCUACUUCUGCUCGGUCAACGACAGACCAGCAGCUAAAGCUACGAAAACUCUACUAAGGCAAGUGCCUACUUCUGCUCGGUCAACGAAUGACCAGCAGCUAAAGUUACGAAGAUUCUACCAAGGCAAGUAAGUGCCUACUUCUGCUCGGUCAACGCAAGACCAGCAGCUAACUCUACAAGAAAUCUACUAAAGCAAAUGCCUACUUCGGCUCGGUCAACGAAGGACCAGCAGUUAAUCCUACUAAAAUUUUACUAAGAUACAAUCUAUGAGCAAAAACCGGACAAGAAAGCAAAUAAAGAGCAUUUAAAAAUCUUUUUAUAAAUGUUCAAUUGUUUACAAAACAAAUGCAAAUCUAGAGUCUAUACAAAAAUAGGCUCAAAGAUUAGAAGGGUCAACGGCUUCAGCAGGUGAAGGAUCAGUUGUCCCAGGAGGUGGAGGAUCAGCAAUACUGGGAGGAGGCGGCAUGGAUCCUUGUCCCAUUUCAAAAGCACGUUCCCCAGCUCCCCCCUCCUGCACCUCAUAUAAAGGAGCCUCCACCUGAUUCUGCUCACCUUGCUCCUUAUCUCCCUGGCCGACCCCAGCCAUGUACCUCUCCACUCCAGCCUCCAGCUUGCUCAUAUCCAGCUCGGGAUAUUCUUCCUUAAGCACAGACAUGAUGCACUUAUAGGAGAAGGCAACCCCAGAGUCAUACUCGGCAUCCAGCCGAUCGUCCACAUCAGCAGAUUUGCCUUUCUCCUCAGCCAGCUGCUCACCCAAGGAUUUGAUUUCCCCCUCAAGGGCAGCCCUCAGAGUAUCCCUUUCAAUUUGAGUAGCCUGAAGAUCAGAUCUCAGGUCACCCAACUCGCCCUCAAGCUUGGAGGAAGUGGACUCAGCAACAGCAACUUUCUCCUCAAGCUCCGUAAGCUGUUUGUUCAGCUCGGCCAGUUUCUCCUUGGAGCGGUCAGCAGAUUCAACUUUCUUUUUCAACUCUUGGUUAUCAGCCUGGAGCUUCUUCUCAUGACGCGCGGACCCGAUCUUGUAGCACGAGACCAUUGUGGCCAGCCUGAAGGAGACUCUCUGAACAGAAGCAGCCAAAUCGGAGAGGCUCAUGCUCUCGAUGUCCUUCACCAUCUUAGGCCCAACCGAUUUUUUAUAAUCCUUCUGAUAUGGACUCAGGUAAUCACCUUGAUCCCGAGAUGGGAGAGGAGAAGAUCGGUCCUCAGAUUGCAAGCUGACCUCAGGACUCUUGUCAGAGGUUUUCUCCCCACCACUCUUACGAGGUGGAGGAGGAGGCAGAGCAGGAACAGGCGCCUUGGAAGGACCGACGGUAGGUUUCUUCGGAGGAGGAGGCGGGUUGCUGGAGCUGCUCGGGGCCCGACCACGCUUCCUGCUCAUCGCGCUGAGGAUCUUGUUAUCCAUUCCAGCGGCUAUAUCCACUAGGCCCGAACCGACCAAGUUUGUGGGAGACAGGAGGUCUUGGCAAGUAGAAGCGUUCACCAGAGCAGUUUCCACCUGAAGCAAGGGUCGAUCUUCAAGCCCCCCGAUCAAAUCCCAUGACUCUGAAAUAACAAACAAGGUUAAAGAACCCAAUAAGUGGCAGUUCGAAAAAGAAUACAGGCAAAAAAUGAACGACCUGGGGUGACAAACUGCGUUGGUAGGUAAAGAUCACCACCCAACGAACGAAAUGCUGAACACCAUUUUCCCCCAGCAAAGAAGAAUUUGUUCUUCCAAUUCUUACACGAGGAGGGGAAACCGGUGAUUGGCUUUCUCUUUGCAGAACUGGACAUGAAGUAGUACCAGCCCGCCUCCCUUGGGCUGCUCCGCAGCUGAUACAAAUGCUUCACUUCAACAAGGGAAGGCUCCUCCAACCCGCACCUCUCCCACAACACAAACAUAGCCGAUAGAACCCUCCACUCGUUCGGGUGUAGCUGACCUGGGGCCAGGUGCAUACCUCCCAAUAUCUUGGCAAAAUAACGCUGAAGGGGCAGCCGAGCUCCAGUUUAAAACUCUCUAGGUGCAUCGUCACAUACCCCCGCGGAGGCCGACUAGGAACGUCACCCUUCCCAGGGACUACAAGAAGAACAUCGUUGGGGAUGUUGUAGAGAUUCCUAAGUUUAAAUAGAUCGGUGGGGGUGGUGGCACAAACCAUGAAGUCAAUAGGGUAGGAAUCAGCCUCCACCCUAUGGCCUAGUUUCCUUUUCUGAGCAGGUCUGCUCGGUCCGGAACUGCUCCCCUCACCAUCACUAACUCCUUCAGGGACCCCAACCCCACCAGAACUGUGAUUCUCACCAGAGCCCGACGCAGGUCCACCUCUAUUCCCUACAAGCUCUAGUUCGGGGGAAGAAGAGAUAACCAAAGGGCGUGGGUAUUCAAGGGUAUCCCUGCCAUGGGAAGGACCUACACUACUGGAGGGGUCUAAGUAAUCAGUGGGUAUUGGCACAUUGAGACCUGAGUCCCCUGACUCUUCAUCACCCUCAUCAACAAUUAACUUCCUCUUCCGAUUUGACAUACCGAAAUCCCCAAGAGAAAACAGAGAAAAUUCGAGUAUAUGGACACAAAGAAGGCAACACAGAACCCAAUCAACAACAACCAGAGGAAAGGGUUAAAGACUAUACCUGGAAUAGACUGACACUGAUAGCGCUGCCGUGACAGAGAAAACACCCGGCGAAUGGAUACUCCGGACGCUGGAAGUGUGAGCAAAGUUCAGAGAAAAUUUGGUUGACGGCGGAGAAACGAAUAGCAAGAUAAAGAUGACUCCAGUCUAGGGAUUUGAAACGAAAAGGGGGAAAUGGAAGCAUUUAAGUGAUGGGAUAUGCCAGCUCACCCCCCCAUAUAUCGAGGACGGAUAGUCCGUCGUUUCAAAUUUCAAAUACGAAGAGUCUGGAGAUGCCACGUCACCAACCGUUACAAGAGGCCAGGUUAGAAGUAAGCCCAGAUAUGCUAUGGGCAGGUUCACUUAGGCCCACGCUCAGGUCGGAGUCUCCUCAGUAGAGAAAUGGUACAUCAGGUCAGGCCCGUCUCAAUAAAAAGAGGAUCAGACGAGAAGCUCACCGGGCUGGUGAGAUUUGACCAUCAGUUUCUACUCUUAACUCAUUUCACUCGCCAGACCAGAAACUGGGGGACUGGUGUUGAGUACAUAAAGGCACCAGGUCGGCCAUGCUACUGGUUCUGCCCCGGCACGGAUCGUUUCAACUAUAUGGUACGAGCAGAACACGGGGUUAAACAGGAGCCGACCCGAGAUGAGUGCGACCAUGAAAACAUACUGACCAGAAGUAUACGCCGAGCCGAUACUCAUCCCCAGGAAAGCGGGAACACGAUCUCACAAAAUCGCGGUAGUUGCGCUUCUCCCAGAACGGUUGAAGGACACGCGAGAUCCACGUUUGCCCACAAUCUAACAGUUAGAGUCCCAUGAGGGGUUACCACCACCCGAAAAAGGAGGGAUAAGGGGCAAACGAAAAACGUGGGACAAAGGGCGGCUAUAAAAGAGAAAGACAUGGAAGAAGACAGGACAGAAAAAAUUGAGAGAGGGGAAACGCUGCCAAAUUCCAACCAGGCCAUUUCCUUACAAAUUUCUUAAAUCCAUAUUACACUGUUUUCCCGUAAACACCUUGUGCUAACUUAGGCAUCGGAGGGUUUACGCCGGUAAAACCACCGGCGUCUCUGAUCCGUGUUUGCUGAACGCAGGUCUAGUGAGAGAGGGAAGGGCGAUUCCAACCCCAGUGGUUCGAGUGACAGUUGAUAACACAAACGUUGAUGACAGAAUCUGGUCGGUCCAAGGGCGAGCAGAUUUCAGCAUCAACACUAUUGGCAAAGAGUGUCCACACGGAUGUGAUCAAAACUGCAUUAACACAAGCAUGGAAAACAACAAAAGAGGUGAAGAUUGAGAGCAUGAGAAACAAUAUUUUUCGGUUCAAAUUUGGGUUAGAAGUUGAUAAACAGAAAAUAAUGGCAGGAGAGCCAUGUCAUUUCGAUAGGGCUCUGAUUGUGUUGAAAGAACCCAAUGGAAUAGGAAACAUGAGAAAGGAAGAAUUCACGCAUACAUGUUUUUGGGUACAAACUCACAAUAUACCCAUAGUUUGCAUAGAGAGAGAGAGACAAUGUUCAAAAGCUGGGAGGACUGAUUGGAGAGGUGUUGGAAGUUGAAAUUGAUGAUGACAGGGAGUGUAUUGGUUUGUAUGCAAGAGUCAGAAUAUCCAUUGACAUCACAAAGCAAUUACAGAAAAUGGUUGGAGCUAGAAAAAGAUGAUAAGGUGGAGUUGCCAGUAUUGUAUGAACGGCUCCCAGAUUUCUACUUUUGCUGUGGUACCAUUUGGUACCAAUUUAAAGAGUGUGAAUCAUACAUAGGGCAACCAAAAAAAAAAAUUGCCCUAUGGAGUGUGCAUGAAGGCAUUGUCCAAAGUUGAAAAAACUAGGCUGAACAGGGGAAAAGAUAGAUGGAAUAGAAGGUUUGAGCAGCUCAAUAACGAACCAAAGGAAGCAGAACACCAUGGGAGAAGGCAGGCAAAACAAAUUGGUUUAGACCUGUAUAAACAUGAACUCGAGUCAAACUAAUCUAUUUCGGGGAGAUCAUGAUAGUUAAACAAGGAAAAUUGGGGAGUAAUUAAUGCAAAUGACUCUAGAACCAAGAAAUCAGAAAGACACGGUCAAAAGUAACCUAACAUGGCUGAUACCGAAAAUACAGCCGACAACUUAAACAAUCAUGGAAAAAAGAAAGAAAAAGCGGGAACAUAGAAUUGAGAGGGAAUAAAGUUAAAUUUGGUGCUAAAUUUGAAGCCAAAAUUAACUCUAAAUACAAGCCCAAAAAAAUAUUAAAGCAACUCAAGCCCAGAAGAAGUAGUAUGUGAUGGACCGAAAACAAAGAAUACUAGGCCUAAGAGAAAGAAGUGAAAGCUGCAAGCUAGUAGUGUAAGUAGCAAAGGACACACAAAAGAAGGGCUAAUUGUGGGAAAAAGACUAGGUUGUGGAGUAAUAAGGUCAAGCCUAAAUCCUAAAAAAAAAACCCAAAUCCGAAGCCCACAGAAAAACUCAAUAGCUAGAGAAAGCUCCUGCAAUACAUCUCCUCUUAGCUAUAAGCUCAACUGGGUUGUUUUAAGAAUGGAGAAAAUGAUAAAAACACAAACAAUGCAACUCAAUCGGCGGAGGCAGAACACCAACCCUGCCGACAACUAUGAGGAUUCCAAGCUGGAACGUUCGGGGGAUGGGGAAUGACCGAACGUUCAUAGCUCUCCAAAAAUUCCUCACAUUGUAUAGGCCUCAAUUAAUGUUUCUAUGUGAAACUAAAUUGACAUCUGUACACAUGGAAAAUGUUGGCAAGAAGCUGAAGUUUGAAAAUUGUUUUUGGGUUAGUAGAAGUGGUAAGAAUGGGGGUCUAGCUAUGCUUUGGAAUUCAGCAACAAGGGUAGAUAUCACCUCUUUCAGUAAACACCGCAUAGAUACUGAGGUAGAACUGAAAGUGGGAAGUAGAUGAGAUGCACUAGAAUCUACGGGCACCUAGAAACGAGUCAGAAAAAACACACCGGGACUUUAUUAAGGAGAUUAACAGGUUUAUCUUCACCCCUUUAGUUAUGCUUUGGCAAUUUCAAUGAGAUAAUGCACUUAGAUGAAAAAAAUGGAGGAAAAGACAGGGAGGUUCAUAUGAUUAAAGAGUUUCGAAAUGAUGUUCAGGAUUACAAUUUGAAAGAUUUGGGUUAUACAAGACACCAUUUUACAUGGUCGAAUAGGAGAUUUGGUAGCCACUUUGUUGAAAAACGUCUAGAUAGAUUUUUAUGUAGUAAUGAUUGGACAAAUUCUUUCUAAAACCAAGCUGCAAAAAAAUCUGAUUAUAUGGUGCUCAGACCACAAUCCGAUUUUGAUGGAAGUGAUAAGCAGAGCCAAUAGAAAGACAUAUAAUAAAAGAACCUUUUCAAGAACCCAUUAUGAAGACAUGUGGAGCAACUAUGAUGAGGGUAAGAACAUUGUAAAGGCAGAAUCGACCAAAGACUGGUCAGGGGAUAAUGCAGUGCAGUUUUUUAAACAAGCCAGCAAAUCUUAACUAACUGAAUUAGUACACUGGAGUAAGAAAACUUUUAAAGGAAGCAAGAAGAAAUUAGAGAAGCUGAGGAACAGAAUAUAAGAGCUCUAGUAGGAAAGACAGUGGGAUAAGGGUGAAGAAUUGAUAAGCAUUGAGAGGCAGAUCCAUAACCUCCUUUUAGAUGAAGAGAUCUUUUGGAAACAGAAAGAGGUUUAGGGCUGAUUGAUUGAGGGAGGGAGAUAAAAGCACCAAAUUCUUCCACUCAAAAGCUUCAUCUAGAAAGAGGAAGAACAAAAUUUGAGGAGUUGAAGAUGCAUAGGGAAAAUGGGUAGAAGAAAAUGAAGAUAUUGAGAAAGAGUUCUGCGGUUACUUUGCAGAGUUAUUUUCAACUUCCAACCCUACUCAAGAUCAAAUGGAGUGUGCUUUGAAAGAAAUGGUCUCAAAAGUUUCAGCUUAAAUGAAUGAGUAUCAGACUCAACCAUAUACAGAGGAAAAGAUAAUAGAGGCUCUAAAUCAAAUGCGUCUAACCAAGACACUAGGCCCUGAUGGGCUACCGACUGCCUUUUAUUGGAAGCACUGGCCAUUAGUUAACAUCACCACAUGUUUUCACAUCCUCAAUGAAGCAAGUAACAUUGCUCCUCUGAACCACACAUACAUUGCUUUAAUUGCCAAUAAUGCAAAGCUUAGGAAAGUGACUGAAUUUAGACCAAUAAGUCUUUGUAAUUUCAUUUAUAGGAUUUGUAAAACUAUUGCAAAUAGAUUGAAAACUAUCCUACAUGUUGUAAUUGAUUCUUCGUAGAGUGCUUCUAUCCCCAACAAAUUGAUAAUGGAUAAUAUCAUUGUUGGGUAUGAAUGCCACCAUAAGAUUAGGCAUAACAAAGGAAAAAAAAAUGGCUUGGUGGCUCUGAAGUUAGAUAUCAACAAAGUUUACGAUAAGGCAUAGUGGGAUUUUUUAAAGGAGACAAUGAUCAUAUUAGGUUUUGCUAAGAAGUUGAUAAAUUUAAUUAUGAAUUGCAUUACUACGUCAUACUUUUCUAUAAUCAUAAAUGGAAUACCAAAUGGCAAGAUUAUUCCUAAAAGGAGCUUGAGGCAGGGAUGCCCUUUAUCUCCUUAUCUGUUUAUAAUAUGUGCAAAUGCUCUUUCAAAUUUGUUGAUUCAGGCUGAGAGAAGAAAGUUAAUACAUGGGUUGAAAUUUGGAAAGCAUAUCUCUAUUUCUCACCUCUUAUUUGCAUAUGACAGCCUAAUUUUUUUUUUCCAAAGCCUCAAUUAAAGAUUUCCAGCAUCUAAAAGAUUUGUUCGAUUGUUAUGCCACUGCCUCUGGCCAAAUUUUUAAUUUUGAAAAGUCAUGCAUGUUCUUCAGCGGCAGUGUUUGUGCAAACCAAAUUUCGGCCAUUAAAAGAAUAUUUCAGCUCAAUGUGGUAACGAAGCAUGAGAAGUACUUGGGGCUGCCCUCAAUGAUAAAGAGGAAAAAGAAAAAAAUUCUUCAAUAAGAUUAAGCUAAAAGUCCAGAGCAAGAUCUCUAGUUGGCAAUAAAAACUUUUCUCGAGUUGAGGAAAAGAUGUCCUGAUAAAAGUAGUGGCACAACCAGCUUAUGCAAUGAGUGUCUUCAAGAUACCUAUUGGUGUGUGUGAUGAUAUUUAGUGAGCAAUAAAAAGAAGGAAAAAAAGGGGCAUCGUUUGGAUCAGAGGGGAGAAGAUGAGUCAAGCUAAAAUUUGAGGGGGAAUGGGCUUUAGAGACAUAUCAAGUUUUAACCAAGUCAUGGUAGCUAAGCAAGGAUAGAGAUUGAUUCAAAAUCCAGAUUCCCUUGCAGCUACUGUUUUAAAGGCUAGGUAUUUUCAAGAAGACUGAUUUUCUAAAUGCUUCAAUGGGGUCAAACCCAUCUUAUAUUUAGAGAAGCUUACUUUGGGGUCGACAAGUAAUUCUUAAUGGAUAUAGAUAGAGAAUUGGUAAUGGGUAAAACAUCUUAGCCUACAAAGGAAAUUGAAUUCCAAGACCAUCCACUUUCAAACCGUUUCCUAGUCCAAGGAUGCCUUUUGAUGCUAUUGUUUCAGAGUUGAUAGACAAUGAAAGCAGAUGGAAGACUGACUUGAUCCAAAAGAUGUUUUUAAAGGAAGAUGUAUAUGCAAUUCUCAAUAUUCCUUUGCCAAAAGGACAAAGCAAAGAACAAGCCAUCUGGCAUUAUGACAGAAAGGGGAAAUACUCGGUCAAGAGUGGAUACCAAGUGGCUAUAAAUAUGAAAAUUUUGAAUUCACCAAAUUGCUCCAACAGUAAAGGCAGAAAUUGGAAUAUCAUUUAGACCCUUACCAUCCCAAAAAAAGAUUAAGAUUUUCAUUUGGAAAGCAAUUAAAAACUUACUACCGACAGUUGAUAAUUUGUGGAAGCGUAGAAUUAUUCAGGAAGGUCACUGCAAGCAUUGUAGAAAUAGAGUGGAAAAUAUUAUGCAUGCCAUGGUCACUUGUAAAGCAGCAAGAAAGGUUUGGCAGCUUUCAUCAAUGGUGAAUGCAAGUCAACAGAUGAGAAAUGCAAACCUCUUGGGGGAUUUGAUGAUGCUUCAGAAGAAAUUAAGUAAAGCUGAACUUGAGCUUGUGGCGUCAAUUUGGUGGGUGAUUUGGCAUGCUCAGAAUAAAUUUGUAUCUGAAGGUGUAAAAUUGGAUCAAGGAUUGCAAAUGGCCAAAGCUGAAGCAGUCAAUGAAGUUUUUAAAAGAACAAAAUUUCCAGAGAUGUUGAAUCUAGGAAAAAUGCAGAAGGAAAAACCAAAAUCCUGGACCCCUCCACCCGAUGGAUGGCUAAAGAUAAAUGUUAAUGCAACUACUGACACCAAAAGACAAUGCUCGGGAUUGGGAGCAAUAAUCAUAGACUCCACUAGAAAGUGCUUAGCUGUAGCUAUAAAAACCUCAAGGUUUGGGAGAGAUGUAACAUAUGUGGAAGUAGAAGCAGCUGAGUAGGGCAUUAAAAUAGCACAGGAAGCAGGUCUACAGUCAGUUAUCCUAGAAACUGAUUCUCAUGAAGUACCAGAAUUGAUAAACAAUAGAGAAGGCAGCCUAACAGAAAUAUAUUUGGUCCUUGCGGAAAUUCAAGACUUAAAGAAGAAUUUUAAAGCCUUUAAAGCACAAUAUGUCCCUAGAUCAUUUAAUGAGUGUGCCCAAUCUUUAACUAAGAUGGCUAUUGAAAAAUUUGAAUCUAUUGUUUGGGUGGAGAAUUUUCCUCCUGAAAUUUUGUAAGUUUUCACUUCGUUGAAUUAAUAAAAGUUUUACUUUCCCAUAAAAAAAACUGGUAAAACCACGAAUGCUACUAUAUGUGAAGAUUGCCAUAUAUGAAAUUUUAUAAAAAAAAUGAAUCUUAUUUUCAAUGUGAAGAUUAUCAAAUAUAGAAUUUUUAUUAAGAAAAAAUUCUUAAUUUUUGGAUAAUUAUGAAUGGGAGUAAUAAUAUGGAGAUAUCUAAAAAUUAGACUUCCUUAUAUAUGCAACUUAAAUAACAUCUUUGAAAUGUUAGAAGAAUAAUUAUUCAUUAGUGUAUUAAUCAAAUAAAUUUCAAAUAUUGGGGUCUUCCUAAAAAUUGGAGCAUCAUUUAGUUAACCUAAUACUAAAGUCGCUCUUGAAUCUGUUAUGGAAGCCAUGCUAAAUUUCAAGGGUUUAAGAUUCUUAGAAAAGGCUAUGUUGAUCCCAAAUGGUACAAACAGGAACUUCCUAAUGUGAAUUGAAUGGAUACUCAAUCCUCUGAUGGCCAAGAGUUUAAGACCUCGUAUUAAUUGUUCCAUAUCUUGAUCUCAUUGAGUUUACUAAGACCAACUAACUCGAGACCUUUAAUCAUCUCCAAUCUCUUAGACUUAUAACCUCAAUCAUGGACACCCAACAAUUAAAUUUUUAAUAAAACUUUUAAUAACAUGAUCAUCUACUUCAACUGACAACAGAUAUAAUUGUUUCAAAGAAGCUAAUAUCACGCUUGCUGGUAACUCAAGCUUACAACCAUUUAACACUAAGGGAAUGCCUAUUUGGAAUUGAGGUGUUGUACAUUUUAAGUUACAUCUUCUGUAGAAAAAAAAAACUAUAAUUAUGAAGUAAAAGUUAAUAUUAUGUUGUAAACAUAAUUUUUUAACUAUAAUUUUAACAAAAUUAGUAAAGAUAUAAUAGAUAUUUCAUCAUACAUGUAUACUGUCAAAUUAACUUAACUUCUAAGUUACAGUAAAUUGUGUUUACCAAACAUUUUGGUGCUAUACUUUUUAAGCUCCAACUACUCAACCUCAAUCCUAAAUAAAACAGUAGUUAACGAUUUCAUACAAGAAACCAUUUAACAUUAUUCUCAAUUGCAUAGCAAAUGCGUUGGUGAUGAAUAGUGCUUUUAUUUUGUUACAGUGCACAUAAAUAUGAUGAAAAAACUUUGAAUCAAGUACCAAAAAUGGGAAUCUAAGCCAUGCUUGUUCCCACGUUUUAGAUAAAACGCUUUUUUCAACUACUUGUUUGAACGGGAGUAAUGACAAAAUAUGAUGCCUACGUGCUUUUGCAAAUUAGAUAUCCUUUUUCUUUUUCAGUUAUUCUCCCAACAUCACAGGCCUCCCUCAAUUAACCACUCUCAAGCAGAUUAAUAAAUUUAUUAAUUAUAUAGAUCAUGUUCUUACUCAUCAACAACAUAAUUAGAACUGAAUCUAAAUCGAAAUUAUUUUGAAUUAAUAUGGAUUAUGAUAUCUAGGCAUGCAUGGACAAAUUGAAAUUUAGUCUAAUUCAGUUUAAUUUAUUCUUUAAUGAGAAAAUAAAUUCGAACAAAAAUGACCCACAAAAGAUAAUUACAGAGAAACAUACAAUAUACAUUUAGAAAUUAGUUUAAGAAAUAUAAUAUCUGUCAACUAUCAACAAUCUCGCCGUCUAAAGCAGCAGCAAAAAUCAGCAAAAAUAUAAUAAUGGUUCUCAAACAUUGUUAAAUCCCUUAACACUUUAGAAUAAAUCAAUAUAGGAAAUGAUUGGUAAAUGCUUAUUUAUUCUUUAUAUUUUGAGUUACGUGCUCAUUUAAUUUUUAUAUUUAAAAAAUAUAUUAAAACAAAAAAAAGACAACAAACAAACAAAAAAAAUGAAAAAAUGAUUUCCAGAGAAAGUCUUGAAACUCUUAUGACAUAGGAUCUUGGACGAUCUUAAAAGACAUUAUAAAAUAUAAAGGGCUAAACGGUCAUGAAUAUUUACCCGGAAAUAAAAAAUUAAUUUUUUUUGUAUUUUGUCUAAGUGAACAUUCAAACAUCAUUUAUUUUUAAAUUUCAAAAUUAUUUACUUUUAUAUGAUAUAUAUCAUAAUAAUUCAAAAAAGAAAAUUGUAUUUAUUCUAUCUCUAAAAUAAAUUAAAAAAAUUACAAACUAUUAAGAUAUAAUAAAUUAUUAUUAUUAUUAUUUUACUGAUGAUGAUGACAACGACGACGGCGACCAUGAUGAUGAUAUACGAAUAAAUAUUUGCUUUAAUAUUUUUUAAAAAAAUAUUUGUUAAGUAUAAAACUCUACUCAAGUCGAAUAAAUAUAUGUUCAAUACACUUGAGGUAUGGCUAAAUGUCAAAAACAACCACAAACAUGAGAAACUGGAUGCAAUAGUCCUUUCGUUUGUAAAAUGUUCGAUAGAACCUUUCGUCUUAAUUCGAUAAAAAUAUAAAAUAAAUUAGGAUUACGAGGUGGUUAAAAGACUACGAAUACAUUAAUCUUUUAUUAAAAAUUAUAAAUACGUUAAUCUUUUAUUAAAAAAUCAUAAAGACCCACAAUAUAUAGUACUCCGAUGCUAUUAUUUUUAUAGUGAGUGGUCUAAUGGUUAUAAUUCCAACUUCUUAUGGUUAAAUUUGUAAUUUCUUGGAUAACUUUGUCAGUUCGUUUGAUGACAAAGAUGAACUUGGACAUGUUUUCGUUUCAAUUAAGAGGGAUGCAUCAUUUUCUUUAAUAGUUUAUAAUAUUAAUUAUUGACCAUUGGGUGGUUUCUUUCUUUCUUUUAUCUUUUUUUUUUUAAUUUAGCAUUGACGUGUAGAGUUUCGUUUGUGUGACUAAACUAAAUACUUUAAAACUUAAAUAUAUAGGUUUUGUAAUGGAAAAGAAUAUAAGAAAGACGACUCGUUAGUGUAAAAAUAGAAAAACUUGCGACUUAAAACUAUAAGAAUUCAUCAAUAAUGAAAUUUUAGUCAUAUAGUAUUUGUAAUAUAUCUUUAACAUAGAUAACUAUACAACCUAAAAAGAACUCAUUUUUCUAUUUUAAUGUUUUGUAAUGUCUUCAUUGAGAUUCGCAGCUGAAAAUAUACGCUUGUUGAAAAAUCUCAUAAAUAAGUAAAACAGAAACUAUAUAUUAUGAUGAACAAAAAGGUUUAAUAAAUUUAUAAUAAAAUCUAAUUACCUUGAUUGAGAUGAUAACUAUGGAAAAUAGACCACUAGUGAAAGGGACAAGGUAGCACUUUUACUGGGUGAAGGAAAUUUGGGAAAGCGGAAAGCGAUUAAUUAAAAAAUUAUAACAAAAACUUUUCAUGUAGAGUAAUUUUUUUUAAUUAUUUUAGGGAAAUAAUAAAAAAUUUUAGGCCGGCAUCUCGAAUAUAAAGUAGUAAUAAAAUUAUUAAGCAUCAAAGAGUAAUGAUACAGCCACAAACUCUUGUACAAACUUAUUUUGUACAAAUUGACGUGGUAUUAAUUCAUUGGUUGAAUAAAAAUAUAAAUUAAUAAAAACAAAUCAUCUGGGCCAAGUAAUAUUUAAUUCAACCAAUCUUAUCAUGCCACAUCAGUUUGUACAAAAUAAUUUUAUACAAGAGUUUGUGGCUAUAUCAUUACUCAAGCAUCAAAUUAGGCUUAUAAAUCACCUUAUCACGGUUUUUCUUUACAGUGACAUGUGAUUUUUUUUUCCUAAUAAAGAAGAGAUCCCUUCAACUAAUUUCAAUAUUUUGAGUCUUAACAAAGACUGAUCACUUCCGUUUGAGUACAUUAUAGAUUAAUUUGUCAUUGCUGAAGUCACUCCAAUUAUAUGAUGUUUUGAUAUUCUUAAUUAAAACCAAUUUCAUGUUUCUUUAAAUAUAAUUUUUAAUUCUAUUUUACUUUCUUCGUUGGUACUAUUUGCUUUUUAAAUCAUUUAAUUAUGCAUAUUUUUUAGGCACCCUAAACUUUCAUUCCAUUAAAUAGAAUUAUUACAAUCAAUCAGUACAAUCAGCACAAUAACUUAGGGUUAUUCUACUAAUAAUGUAACUUUUAAAAUACUAUGCGUUUUAAAAAGUAUUAUGGGUUUUAAAAAUAAUCGUAUGUGUGCUAAAUUUUAUUGCUAAAUUGCUAUAAGAAUGUAAACGAUUGAACUAGACUUAAUGUUAAAUUGAAUUUAUUUAUAUAUUUAUAAAUAUGUAUAUAAAAUAUUUUUAUUUUGUAUAAAUGAUAAUUGAUAACUAAAAUAAAUAUUUUAUAUUAUUAAUUUUUUUGUUAUCUUAAUAUAAUGGGAAGUAAUAAUUUUUUUAAGUUAAUGAUUUUAUUUCCUAAUUAAAAAGGAUAAUUUUAGAUUUAUAUAAUAAAUUUGAGAAUACGUAUGAAAUUAUGUUAGGUAUAAAAUUGAUUCUUAAAUCAAAUUUUAAAAAACUACUUAUUCUCAAUUUUUUAAAAUCCAUUAUAAAAUUAAACUAAGCUUACCAAAAAUAAUUUUAAAAAAUUAUCAAAAUCUAAAAUUAACUAUUAACUUUUAAAAACUAUUUUUAAAUUUCUCAACAAUAAUUCCAAACAGCCCUUAGAAUCUCAUUAUUAAAAAUAAAAGCAUAUUGGUUGGUUGUUCAAAGACAGGCAACAGCAGCCGGCUACGUACUUGCAAACGUCACGUGCCAGCGAUUAAAAGCAUUUUAAACAUAUGUGAACAUUGAAUCCAAUGGCAAUGGAGACUGAUUCGACCCUCGUGGAAUUUUUUCAUAUUCCAAAACGGUCGACCCAUUUCGGUCUAUAAAUACCCAAUUGAACCCUUCCGUUUCUUUAAUCAUUUUAUUUUCAGUCGCGUUAAGGAUUCUCAAUUUGCUUGUAAUUCUACUAAACAUGGGAAACAGAGCAGAGGAGGCUAAGCAAAAUCAAGAAGAGAACAACGGUAACAUGGCCAUUGAAACUCCCAUCAUCCCUCUUGUCACUCCUUACAAUAUGGGCAGUCUCAAUCUUUCUCAUAGGUACCGAUUGUACCCACCUUUUAUUUCAUUGAGUUUUUUAUUUUUAUUUUUUUGGAUUUACAUUUUCUUUCGCUGUAUGGAUUUUUGUAUGGCGUUAACUUUAUUGACGAAAGUGACAUCUGCCAAAGUACAUUUGAGUGACGAGCAUUCACAUCAUAAGCACUCAGAUUCUCACUGUUUAUCCAGGGCUCAGCGCAAACUCAGUCGACCACUGAAUCCUUGUCCAUUUAGAAUGAAUGGAUUAGUGAAUAUUUGGAAUGGAUUAGGAAAUAUUUGGGAUUUAGUUACUGUGGUUUUUAAUUCACAGUCUCUAUGUGGAGUGAAUCAGUAGCUAUCGAGUAAAACUGUUGGUGUUUACGGAACACUUUUUAACUGUCCUUUUUUGGUAAUUAAGCAGAAGCACGCCCGGUUAUUAACUUAUAAUACCCUUAACUGAUUAGAAUGUAUGAUCUGAUUUAGUUUCUGUAUCUUCUUUGUAUUUGUUCGUUUGGUCUAUGAUCUGACUGAGAGUUUUACAGAGGCAGUUUAAGUGUAAUGUUGCAAUUUUAUGGGUUUUUUUCUUUUGAGUUUGAGUUAUUGGUGAUGGGGCUAAUUGAAUUGCGGCUUGCUUGUUUUGUUUAUUUCAGAGUUGUUUUAGCACCACUGACUAGACAGAGAUCAUACAACAAUGUUCCUCAGCCACAUGCCAUUUUGUAUUACUCUCAAAGAACCACCAAAGGGGGUUUGCUUAUAGCCGAAGCCACUGGAGUUUCCGACACUGCUCAAGGGUAAUUUUACAUCCGUUUAGCUGUUUUAAGAGUUUUUUGAGGCAUUAAAUGGAUAAGAAAUUGUAUGUUUGAGUUUCGAAAGCAUUACCUGUAUUUAGUUGCUUGAAAAUCUUGUGUGUUCUGUUGUUUCUUUUAUUGUAAGGUAUCCAGAUACACCUGGUAUCUGGACAAAGGAGCAAGUUGAAGCAUGGAAACCGAUUGUAGAUGCUGUUCAUGCCAAAGGUGGGAUCUUCUUUUGUCAGAUUGGGCACGUUGGCAGGGUUUCAAAUCAAGGUGUGUUCUAUAUCUCUCUCUUCUAUUGACAGUUACUGGUUACUUAGUUAUCAGGAUCAUACAUACAUUUUAUUUCUGACAAUAAGAUAAGGUACCGUGAACUUAAGCUAUUGAAUUGCAGUAACUUACAGUAAUCUAACAUGAGGCAAGUGUUGAGAGAAUAAGCAGCUCGGAUUAAUCAAAUGCUCAAAUUGAGUACUGAUCAUCCUACAGAUGCACCAUCCUUUUGCAUUUUAUUUUCAGUUAAUAAAAUGAUAUUCAAUAGUUUUUUUGCAACCUCCAUGUGAUGGAUCUGACUGAUUUUAUAGAAAUUUGAGAAUCAUUUCAACUGGAUCUUCAUUGGUUUUUCCUGUCGUCGAACUGUACAGAUUAUCAGCCAAAUGGUCAAGCUCCAAUUUCCUGUACAGACAAGCCAUUGACACCUCAAAUCCGCACUAAUGGUGUUGAUAUUGCACAAUUCACUCCUCCAAGGCGGCUAACGACAGAUGAAAUCCCUCAAAUUGUGAAUGAUUUCAGGCUUGCUGCAAGAAAUGCAAUUGAGGCUGGUAAAUUCUUUUUUCUGAAAUUAAAAAUUGAAUUGUGGGCAAUAAGUGUUUUAAGGUCGCCACAGGAUGGGUGAUAUUUCACUGGUCUACUUUUCUUGAGAUUAAGGAUAAUAGUAUAAAAGAAUAGUGAGAUUCUUCCAUUCCAUGCAUGGCUAUCAGAAGGAAAGGAAAACUAAACAUAAAUGCAUUAAUAGAUUUUUACUAGGCUUUUGUGGCUUGUAAAUAAUGCUGUUUUAUUGUACUGUAAGGUUUAUGUGAAAACAGUUAAGUUUCUUUACAAUUAUGCUUAUUGUCCCAUAGUUGUAUUUAUCAUAUUGAAUAAAGAAUUUGAAAACUUAAACCUUACCUAAAUGUGUCAUUAAUGUAAAUGGAGUCAUUACAAUAGUCAGAUUAUUUGAAAUGGGUUCUAGAAUCUUACAUGUGACUCCUUUUGUCAUCUAAAAUGAUGGUUGAGACUUUGUUUUUUUUUUAUCUUAUCAACUGUUUUGUUGUUAGUUAAAAUAGGGAUUGAGUACCGGCAACUCUGAGUAGUUUUGUAGCUUUCUGCCUGCAUCUCUGAGACAUCACAAAACUGCCUUGGAUUAACUUUGAGAGCCAACCUAGUAAAUGCUUAAAUACUUUUUCUUGUUCUUAAAAUGAAAGCUAGACCCUCUGUCUGUCUGUCCGCACAAUGCGAGCCUCAGAGCUUUUAGUUAUAUGAGAAGAGGUAGAUAAAUGGAGUGUUCAUGCUGUACAGGUUUUUGGUUUCUAACUUUGUCUUAUGCUGUAUAGGUU